This 255-nucleotide ribosomal RNA is filed under the name uncultured bacterium. RNAcentral's name for it is "partial 16S ribosomal RNA". It matches the Rfam family "Bacterial small subunit ribosomal RNA", at positions 77 to 334 of the family's 1533-position model. The record is from RNAcentral.
CAAACUGGAGAUGGCGACCGGCGCACGGGUGAGUAACACGUAUCCAACCUGCCGAUAACUCGGGGAUAGCCUUUCGAAAGAAAGAUUAAUACCCGAUGGCAUAAUAGAACCGCAUGGUUUGAUUAUUAAAGAAUUUCGGUUAUCGAUGGGGAUGCGUUCCAUUAGGCAGUUGGUGGGGUAACGGCCCACCAAACCUUCGAUGGAUAGGGGUUCUGAGAGGAAGGUCCCCCACAUUGGAACUAAGACACGGUCCAA